CCUACGGGUGGCAGCAGUGAGGAAUAUUGGUCAAUGGGCUUACGCCUGAACCAGCCAAGUCGCGUGAGGGAAGACUGCCCUAUGGGUUGUAAACCUCUUUUGUCAGGGAGCAAUUGGCGCUACGUGUAGCGUUAUCGAGAGUACCUGAAGAAAAAGCAUCGGCUAACUCCGUGCCAGCAGCCGCGGUAAUACGGAGGAUGCGAUCGUUAUCCGGAUUUAUGGGGUUUAAAGGGUGCGUAGGCGGAAUGCCAAGUCAGCGGUAAAAUCGCGGGGCUCAACCUCGCUCCGCCGUUGAAACUGGUGUUCUUGAGUGGGCGAGAAGUAUGCGGAAUGCGUGGUGUAGCGGUGAAAUGCAUAGAUAUCACGAAGAACUCCGAUUGCGAAGGCAGCAUACCGGCGCCCAACUGACGCUGAAGCACGAAAGCGUGGGUAUCGAACAGGAUUAGAUACCCUGGUAGUC
RNAcentral lists this ribosomal RNA (460 nucleotides) under uncultured bacterium. RNAcentral describes it as "partial 16S ribosomal RNA". It matches the Rfam family "Bacterial small subunit ribosomal RNA", at positions 338 to 795 of the family's 1533-position model. The record is from RNAcentral.